RNAcentral lists this ribosomal RNA (617 nucleotides) under uncultured bacterium. RNAcentral describes it as "bacterial SSU rRNA". It matches the Rfam family "Bacterial small subunit ribosomal RNA", at positions 338 to 951 of the family's 1533-position model. The record is from RNAcentral.
CCUACGGGAGCAGCAGUGGGGAAUUUUGGACAAUGGGCGCAAGCCUGAUCCAGCAAUGCCGCGUGCAGGAUGAAGGCCUUCGGGUUGUAAACUGCUUUUGUACGGAACGAAAAAGUCUGCCCUAAUACGGUGGGCCCAUGACGGUACCGUAAGAAUAAGCACCGGCUAACUACGUGCCAGCAGCCGCGGUAAUACGUAGGGUGCGAGCGUUAAUCGGAAUUACUGGGCGUAAAGCGUGCGCAGGCGGUUAUAUAAGACAGAUGUGAAAUCCCCGGGCUCAACCUGGGACCUGCAUUUGUGACUGUAUAGCUAGAGUACGGUAGAGGGGGAUGGAAUUCCGCGUGUAGCAGUGAAAUGCGUAGAUAUGCGGAGGAACACCGAUGGCGAAGGCAAUCCCCUGGACCUGUACUGACGCUCAUGCACGAAAGCGUGGGGAGCAAACAGGAUUAGAUACCCUGGUAGUCCACGCCCUAAACGAUGUCAACUGGUUGUUGGGUCUUCACUGACUCAGUAACGAAGCUAACGCGUGAAGUUGACCGCCUGGGGAGUACGGCCGCAAGGUUGAAACUCAAAUGAAUUGACGGCUGAGAGNGCGACGACGACGACGAGGGAGGAGG